Molecule: ribosomal RNA, 497 nt
Filed under: uncultured bacterium
Lineage: Bacteria
Description: partial 16S ribosomal RNA
Rfam family: Bacterial small subunit ribosomal RNA
Source: RNAcentral
GAUGAACGCUGGCGGCGUGCCUAAUACAUGCAAGUCGAGCGAACGGACGAGAAGCUUGCUUCUCUGAUGUUAGCGGCGGACGGGUGAGUAACACGUGGAUAACCUACCUAUAAGACUGGGAUAACUUCGGGAAACCGGAGCUAAUACCGGAUAAUAUUUUGAACCGCAUGGUUCAAAAGUGAAAGACGGUCUUGCUGUCACUUAUAGAUGGAUCCGCGCUGCAUUAGCUAGUUGGUAAGGUAACGGCUUACCAAGGCAACGAUGCAUAGCCGACCUGAGAGGGGGAUCGGCCACACUGGAACUUGGCCACGGUCCAGACUCCUACGGGAGGCAGCAGUAGGGAAUCUUCCGCAAUGGGCGAAAGCCUGACGGAGCAACGCCGCGUGAGUGAUGAAGGUCUUCGGAUCGUAAAACUCUGUUAUUAGGGAAGAACAUAUGUGUAAGUAACUGUGCACAUCUUGACGGUACCUAAUCAGAAAGCCACGGCUAACUACGUG